UCCACUGCACGUCUUUUCUAUUGGCUCCUGUGAUGGUUGACUUGGAUGUAUUAGUGAAAUGCUCUAUGUGUGAUGAUUGACAGACUUUGAAAUGGUCUUUGAAGUUAUGAUUGGCUCAGUGUGAUAUUCUUUACCCCAACAGAGGAAAGGAGCCAAGGAGUGCUGAGGUCAGAUGGUUUCUCCCCUGCAUACAGAUAACUGGACCCUUGUCCAUAACAUGGAAGUGAAUUAUUGCCCCUUCUAAAACAAGGACUGUUGAAACAAGAGGAUGCGGUGGAUCUGCGAGCAGGACUGGACAUGCUGAAGAACAGUGCAUCAAGGUUGAUGCGCAUCUGCGUUGCGACCAAAGACUGAGAAGC
This is a long non-coding RNA of Triticum dicoccoides, 359 nucleotides long. RefSeq lists it as uncharacterized. Lineage: Eukaryota; Viridiplantae; Streptophyta; Magnoliopsida; Poales; Poaceae. The record is from RefSeq and is a predicted model, not a curated record. The transcript is spliced from 3 exons.